UGGAGGAAGGUGGGGAUGACGUCAAGUCAGCGACUGGCCUUACUCCGGGGCUACACACGUGCUACAAUGGCCGGUACAAAGGGUUGCGAAGCUGUGAAGUGAAGCUAAUCCCAAAAAGACCGGUCUCAGUUCGGAUUGGAGUCUGCAACUCGACUCCAUGAAGUUGGAAUCGCUAGUAAUCGCGUAUCAGCAUGACGCGGUGAAUACGUUCCCGGGCCUU
RNAcentral lists this ribosomal RNA (220 nucleotides) under uncultured Desulfuromonas sp. RNAcentral describes it as "partial 16S ribosomal RNA". It matches the Rfam family "Bacterial small subunit ribosomal RNA", at positions 1164 to 1382 of the family's 1533-position model. Lineage: Bacteria; Pseudomonadati; Thermodesulfobacteriota; Desulfuromonadia; Desulfuromonadales; Desulfuromonadaceae. The record is from RNAcentral.